UGUUAUGGCAUUACGCUUGAU
This 21-nucleotide non-coding RNA is filed under the name Caenorhabditis elegans. Lineage: Eukaryota; Metazoa; Nematoda; Chromadorea; Rhabditida; Rhabditidae. The record is from RNAcentral.